UCUGUCUUUUGAUCACUGUUGCUUCAGGGACUAGAUGUCUUCUUCCUCUGAAGCGUUUCCUUGUUCAAUCCCAAAACGAUGGUAUUUUGGAUAUUUCUGAUGGGUUAAAUUAAGGGAUCACGUUGGCUUCUUGGCUCACUAGUUUUGCUUAGCAACUGAUUUGAAUCACCUCUGCUUUCUAAUAUUGGCAACUUAGUUGUAUUCAUCUAUAAUGGUGCAGAAACUUAAGCAAAAUUUUCCGAUCCGAUAAGCUACUCUUUGUAACAUGUUCCAGAUAAUGAUUUAAUCUCCAAUAUUUGUGCCAAGAGCUAAACUUUUCAGGACAGGGACCAAAGACUGUCAUGUAACACAUCGGAUGUGGGCCCAAUUUUGUGGAAGGUAGAUCCCAAUCAGAGUUGGCUUAAGCAUAGCUGUCAGGGAAACAAGGUGAUUCAAGGCGGUGGCCAGGGGCCUAGGCAUCGUUCAGGCACCCUAGACUUAACAUGCUGACCUGGGGUGAACCAAGAUUAGCCCAACAGCUCAGCCCAAGCCUAGUUGUCAAAUGUCAUACUUAGGCUGGGUUUAGGCCCAAGUCAACCUUAAAUCCCCUAGGCCCAGUUGGGGCUGAAGUUACUUCAGGCAGCAGAAAACUCCAAAAGCCAAAUUCAAAAUUGAACAUCCUUUUGGUUUUGGUUGACCGUGUUGUUAAAUGCUGUUGUGUAUUGGUUUGUCCUUGUUGUCAACACUGACAAAUGUGGCAGCGGAGUACAAUUGGCAAGUUGUGUCAGGUUUGGUGGUUUCAACAUGGGUCAACUUUGGGGGCAUUUUGGUCAUUUCAUAUGGGAGAUUUUGCUGGGCAUGUGGAGUUGGAUAGAAACAUUGUUGGGCAUGUUGAUGUGUUGUCAUUGUUGGCAACCCUCUUGGUGACAACCUACACGUAGUGAUGAUAUGUGUUUGGUGGUGUUGGAGAGUUUGGGGUGGUGCAGUAGCAGCAACUUCAUGGGGUUUUUGACCUAUCCUUUGGUUGAUUCUUGUAGAAUCUCAAAACAUUAGAAAGGAAGACCUUUGAGUCAGCUUUUGAUGAGUUAAAGUUUCACAUCAAUCUGACACUGGAAUUGGAAGUUAUGGAAAAAACAUCCGACUUGAUCUAUUCUAUGUUUUUUUUUGUGUCAUUCAGAUUCAAGGUCAGUUUUGUGGUCCUUGCAUUGUUCCUUUGUUAAGGUGUAUUGAUGAUAAAUGUAGUUUUUCGAGUUUUCUGUACGUAGGAAAAUGAAUCAUGUCAAUCGGAGUUGGGAUGGAGAAUAUAUUGUUGUUUUCGUACAAGUACGCACUGAUCAUAAUUGACAACGUGCCGUAGUUGAGUGACAAUGUUUCAUUGGCGAGCCAGGCUGUCCUAGUGUUGAGUUUUUUGUCUAAGAAGCUCGACAACUAGAAGAUUCUGCCUGACACUCAAAGUGGGGGUCCCUAGAUAAUGAGCCAUUGUUGAGGGAUGGCCCCUCUUUGUCUAGUUGGGCCAUUUGAGUGGCGAGUGCUGUCAUCUUGUGACAUUUUCAGUUCAUACGACUUUUGAUCAAAUUUUGAGCAGGUUACAGGCCGAAUUAGAAGAAUUCUACUUCUAGGAAACUUGGAGAUCUGUGAGUCUACUUUCAGAUGCAAAAUAGAAUUGGCCCGAUUAGAGAUGUACAUAAGGAGUUAUGACCUUUGGAUUGAGCAAAGGUCAAUCUACUAGAGUGGGUUCCAGUCUGAACUGGGUGGUUAGACCAUGCAUGAAAUUGGUGCUUUUUGUUAGCCUUAUAAAUUAUGUUUUUAGGGAUUCAUUUAUUGUGCCUUAAAGUGCAAGAAGCGAGUAAAGAGAGGUUAGAGUCAUCUCAAGAGAAAAGAUGAGAGGGAAGAAGGAAGCUUGUGGUUACAUUGAAGUGUCUCCAACAACCAUUGUUUAGCACCAUUAACUUGUGUUGAAGUCUAUUGAAGGUUGGUUGGGUGUAUAAAAGCUUCAUUAAAGUGUCAUUGUAAGAAAGGCAAGGAAGAGAAGAAAAGAAGAGAGAGAGAAGAAGAGGUCCCCACUUGCUUGUAGUAACUUGAAGAUUCAAGUUCUCCACCGCGUUGGGUUAGUUGAAGAUUCCAUUGAUGUCAUAAGAUCCUAUCUGAGUAUCAAGAUCAAGUUUGGGACAUAUUGUAAGCAUCUCUACCUUUAGGUAGUUUAACUUUGAGAUUUGUAGUGUGUAGACCAAGGUGCUUGACAAAAAGCCUAGACAAGGUUGAGCUUGUAUUUGGGGCAUCAUUAUAUAAGCCCAUUAUAUAUAUUUUUGGGGGGGUGUUUGGUGGGUGGCGAACAUGGGAGUUGUUGCUCCUUGGUAGUUGCAUCUACCAUUUUCGGCAUUGUAGUGCCCUCCCAGUUAUAUGGUAGGUAAGUUAGGGUAGGUGCCCUUGUCAGUUGCAAUUGACUAAAAGUAGCAUGUCGAGCAACAUAUGAUGCCCUUAUUGUCAUUACUCCGUGGAUGUAGGCGACUUUCCAAACCACAUAUAUUUUGUCUCGUGGAUUGCAUGUGUUAUUUGGAGUGUGUUUGCUGCAGGAUGGGUGUGCACACUAGGUAGACCUUGCCACAGGGUUGUAUGGCCUGAUGUGGUUGAGAGGCCAGGUGUAUUACACGACCUGUAUGUGCCGAGCAUCAUCAACAAUGUAGUAGGGCCGUAAAAGGAAAGAAUUUGUUACAUUGAUUUACCCCCUCAGUGUCAGGCGUAGUUCAACAAAGGCAACGACAUUGGUAAUGAGUAAUGGACAGUGGCGAAGGUACUAGGCUCUAGGCAGUACCGGGGGGGCAACAAAAACUGUUGGGGUCACCUAACGGUGCUGGUGAGGGAAGCAGUAGCCUUGGGGGUGCUGGCAGUGAUCGUGAGGGCCAUAAGAGAGUCAAACAAUGGAGAGGGUUGUAGCAGGGUCGGCAACAAUGGUAGGGGCCGUUAGGGGCCUAGUCGCAAAGGGAAAGGACCACUAGGGGCCUGGUAAUGAGGGCGAGGGGCAAGGUUCUAAAUCUCGGGUUUCGACCCAGAUUUUGGUCAAAACCAUCAAAAUUCCGUGGAAAAUAGGGAUUUUUUCCUGGCUUUGUGGAAACCAUGGUUUCAACCCCCAAACAUUUUUUUUGUCUAAUUUUGUGUACAUCCUAUUUUUUAAGAAUAAGAUCCACCAUGCCCACCACCAUAUCCCGAUGACCCCGUGCUCUCGAAAGAUGGACCACCAACAUAUACACCAUACGAUAGGACCCAUAAUGUGAUGCUGAUCCAACACUCCCACGGCCACUAUCACCAUGAUGUGCUGGAUUAGGGCUCAAGUUUAUGAGUUAUGGUGCACGCUAAUGGCCUAGAUCCUUUACUCCCUCCCAAACUCAUGGUUUUUAUUGUGCCAGACUAGCCCGAUAUAUCCAUGCCCAUGCCUAUACCCAUCCCAGUUGCCUCCUCAUCAGGUUUGAACUGCUGGCUUGGUCCUCGAGUGUAGCCUUUUGGUUGUCAUGAACCGUUAUGUGGCAUGGGGUGAACUUAGUCUCCCCUGUGAAUCUAAUUGGCUUUGGUUGUGGAUCCAGGUCUUGAUGCAUCAUCAUCAUCAUCAUCAUCAUCAUCAUCAUCAUCAUCAUCAUCAUGCUUUUGGUCGGGUCAAGUGUUUGAGUGGCAAACGAUGAAGGUGACCACUGCUCUUCAUCAUCAUUUCCAGUACCAGGGUGGGGCUCCAAUGGAUGUGGUGUCUGUGAGUGAACUCUGCCCUCUCUCUCUAGAUAGUUGUCAACGUUAGCAUCCAUAUGUGAAGCAAAUCUAACUGUUGGGUUGACCCCCAGGCUCAUCUAAAAGUGGCUCACCUCGAUCUUUAACCCACUCAUAAAGGGGAUCUUCCUCAUCUUCAUCCAUAUGGAAGAUUUUGGCAAGCUUGACUGGGCUAUUAUCAUUCUCCAUGCCAAGGCGUAUGUGCUCUUCUUUUAAUCUCAUAUUAUAAUGCACAUACACUAGGUCCUCCAGCCUCUUAGCACACAAUCAAUUCCGUCUCUUAGAGUGUAUGAGGUUGAACGUACUCCAAUUGCGCUUGCACCCUGUGGUGGAACAUGCCUGAGAAAGCAUUUUAAUUUCUACUUUGGAGUUUGGACAGGUUGGGUGAUGGCGCAUAUCUAAAUAUGAACCAAAAGACUGAGGUUAUUGGACCAACCAGCAGCAAUGCCGUCCCGACUUGCAACAGUUGCUCCGCGGCCGAAACUCCCAGUACCUUCUUUGAAAGCUUUCAUCUGUAUGCAAUUUAGUGUUUGGUACCAAUGUUAGCAACUUAGCAUCGAUACCCUAAGUUUUAUUUUAUUUUUUUUUUUAUGAAUAAAUAUUGCAUUAAAAAGGGGAAAGAAAGAGAGGGGAAACCAAGCCCACGAGGCAAUGACAAUCAAAACAAAAGAAAGGGGAGGGGCAAGGGGGCAAAGUACGGCUAACUAGGUGCGACUAGCACCUCAAGGGGGUGACAAAGACAAAUAGACUAAGGGGGAUACAAAUCAUCAUGGGGAUGGGGAGAAGCUAAAAAAGAGGAGAGACCAACAAUGAGCCUGUUCCUUUAGGAGUUCCUGACAGGUUUCUGUUUGGGAGAAGUAAGUUUGGAGCGAACAUCAAAAUAAAUGGCAUUCCAAUUUUUAUCUGAUCAUAAGACAGGGAGUUGGCCAUCCAUCUACGAAUAUUCCGUUUUAUCCAAAUGUGGUCAAUAGUAGUGCAAAAAGUAAGGUUGCCCGCAGUGUCAUAGAUAGAGGUACUUGAGAAGGUCAUGUCAAUCCAGAUCCAUUUCCUAUUAAAAGGCAAAAUGGGUCUCCUAGAAGGCCAACAAUGGCAAAAGACUUUUCUCCAGAUAGCGGAUGAGAGGGGGUAGUUAAAGGAGAGGCGGUUGAUAUCUUCAAUAUUGUUCCAGCAGAGACAACAAGAAGGGGAGGCUUGGAUGUGGUGAUGGAUGAGAAAGGAUUGGGCUAGGAGACAGUCCUUUAGGGCUCACUAGGUGGUGAAACUAUGAUGGGGGAUGUGGCCUUUGAACUAAGCAACAUUGUGCCAAGGGACUCUAGUGGCAGUGGAAUUGAUAAGGCUCCAGGCGGAGGCAGAGGAGAAGCGGCCAUUGGGAAGAAGGAUUCCAUGAAAUCCUGUCCUCACGGGCAUCCCUGUGUGUGUGUGUGGGGGGGUAGAUCUGCCCAGAUAUCAGCUAGGGAUGGGGAUGUGAGAGUGUACCAAAUAUCAUUUGAGAUGAUGGAUUCAACAAUGGCAUUUUCGGGAAUUCCAGAGGAGUACACAGUUUGGGGGCUGAAAAUGGAGAGGAGACUAGUAGGGUGCCAUUUAUCCAAUCAGAAGUAGUUGGAAAACCCAUUACUGAUGGAGGAGUAGAUGGCAUUGAGGGCAAGAGGUCUGAGGUUGAGGAUGUUUCUCCAGACCCACGAGGCAUCAGAAGGAGAGUAUCCAAAUGGAAUUCUUUUUAAGGAGAGAGGAGUAUAUCUAGUUGACCAGGAUACAAUUGUGCUUGGAGACAUUCCAUGUGAGCUUGAGGGUGCCAGCUUCGAUGUUACCAUUGACUUUUCUCAAACCUAGACCUCCCUCAGUUUUGGGGAGGCAGAUAGAGGCCCAUCUAAGAGGGUGAACUAUGAAGGAAUUUGGACUGGUCUGUGCCUUUCCAAAGGAAUGCAUGAAGGAUGGAUUCGAUGGCUUUGGAGAUAGAAACAGGAAGAGAGAAGACACCCAUCCAGAAAAGGUAUAUAGAUUGAAUCACAGAUCUAGCAAGGAUAAGGAGGCCCAUGUAAGGUAGAAGCCUUCCUUUCCAAAGGAGCCUUUUCCUCACAAGCUCAAGCAUGGGGGAGCAAUGAUGGGCAGAUAGUCUGGACGAAAUGAGGGGAAGCCCCAGGUACUUGACCGGUAGGGAGCCUAGGGAGAAAGCCAGAGAUCUGAAGGAGGGUAUCUUUAAUAGAGUUCGAGACUCCAGCAAGAAAGAUAUAGGACUUGGCUAAGUUGAUGCAGAGGCUAGAGAGGGUUCCAAAGGAAUUUAGGGAGGAAAUGAUGGAGGAGAUGGAAAGAGAGUCUGCUUUGGAGAAGAUAAUGAGGUCAUCAUCAAAGGUAAGGUGAGUGAGACCAUAGAUUUGAUUUUGGGGAUGGGAGUGAUGAGGUGAAGGUCAGUUGCCGAUUGGAUGGAUCUAGAGAGGACCUCGAGAGCGAGGGUGAAGAGGGGGGGAGAGAGCGCAACCUUGCCUGAUACCCACAGAGGAGUUAAAGUAUCCAGCCAGACCACCAUUAACAAGGAUAGAAAACAUGGGGGUGGAGAUGCAAGAGUGAAUCCAAUGUAUGAAGGCAAGGGGAAGGACAUCUGACUAAGGAGUAAGGACCUUGGAAAUGAAAUCCCAAUGAAUGGAAUCAAAGGCUUUAUGAAUAUCAUUCUUGAGGAGGGCAGCAACAGAGUUGGAUUUUUUAUGAAAUCCUCUAACCACCUCAUGGCAUAGAAUGAUGUUAUCUGAAAUGCUUCUACUAGCAAUGAAAUCAGAUUGAUUAGGGCUGACUGGAGAGUCCACAACCGGUUGAAUUCAAUUGGCGAGGAUUUUGGCGAUGAACUUGUAGAUGAGGUUACAAAGGGCGAUAGGGCGGAAGUCAGCCAUAGAGGAGACUCCCUCAUGCUUGGGGAUGAGGCAGAGGAAAGUGUGGUUAACACCUUUGAUCUGAGAGAGAUUGAAAAAGAAGGUUUGGAGAUGAGCAGAGGGAUGAAGUUGGAAUUGGAUCUAGCUUUGAGGGAGCGAUGGGAAAAGGCAGAGUUGGAAUAUCCAAGCUCCAACCAUUUAAUUCUAGAUUUUUGCCGGAGAAAAAUCUAAUCCUGGGCAAGGAGGGAAGAGAACUCAAGGGCAGCAGCCUUUUCUUCCUCAACAAGAGAAGGAUUGAGAGGGUCCAAUUGGAGAGAGGAUUGGAUGGUUCGGAGAUAAUCUUUGCUCAAGGAAACUCUAUUGGAGAUGUCAUUGAAGGUGGAAUGGUUCUAGGAUUUGAGGGCAAUCUUGACAUUUCUGAGCUUCCUGGAAAAGGCAAUAAGAGGAGAGGAGUAGGCUUGGACAGGCAGGCUCCGAGCCUGACGAACAAUAGAGAGGAAGCUUUGGUGAAGAGUCCACAUAUCAAAGAAUUUGAAAGGUUUGGGCCUAAAGAAUAUGUAGGGAUUAACAUAGAGGGAGAUUGGGGAAUGGUCAGAGAUGUUGGGGAGAUCAAAGGUAGCAUGAGACGAGGGGAAGGAGGUCAUCUAGGAUUCGUUGACCAGAACACUAUCAUGUUUACUAGCUUUUCUUCUAGAGUCAAAUCUAUGGUUUUGCCAUGUGAAAUCGGCUCGAGACCAUCUGAGGUCAUGCUCCCCAAUGUUAUCGAUCAGAGAUGUGUUGUUUGGUGCUCCAUUUUCCCACUGAGGCCGAACCUAUACCUAUGCUCGAGAGAUGGCUGUUUAUACAUUGAUAAGGGAUGUAUGGAUUCUUGAGAAGAGAGGAGCCAUGGUGGUCCCCUUUGGACCGCCCGGAUCCCACGAGUGAAUAGAAAGUACUAAAGGAGCCCACCGCAGAAUAGUCAAUGGGGGCUCCGCCCAACUUUUAUAGUAGUUCUGACCAUAUUGAAAUCCCCUGCAAGGCCCUACGGGAGGGAGCCCAUAUUGGGAGCAAAAUACCACGGGUCAUUCGAGAGAUCUUCUCUAUUUGUGGCACGAUUGAAGUCAUAAAUCACAGAGAGGAUGUAAAUGUUGGAGCCGGAUAGAUCGGAGAUAGAGAGAUGGAUCGCUUGGGA
Long non-coding RNA from Macadamia integrifolia, 7764 nucleotides. RefSeq lists it as uncharacterized. The transcript is spliced from 2 exons. The record is from RefSeq and is a predicted model, not a curated record. NCBI's taxonomy places the organism in Eukaryota, Viridiplantae, Streptophyta, Magnoliopsida, Proteales, Proteaceae.